Molecule: transfer RNA, 64 nt
Filed under: Tenebrionoidea sp. 24 KM-2017
Lineage: Eukaryota; Metazoa; Arthropoda; Insecta; Coleoptera
Description: tRNA-Leu
Source: RNAcentral
AUUAUUUUGGCAGAUUAGUGCGAUUGAUUUAGAAUCUUUGAAUAUAUUUAUACUAUAAGUAAUA